This 319-nucleotide long non-coding RNA is filed under the name Monodelphis domestica (gray short-tailed opossum). Its description in RNAcentral is "lncRNA (ENSMODG00000045555.1)". The record is from RNAcentral. Lineage: Eukaryota; Metazoa; Chordata; Mammalia; Didelphimorphia; Didelphidae.
UGGUCUAAGCCUCUGCCAACCCACUGCCAAGGGCUGCCCAAUGGUAAGAGCCGGGGACUGUCCUUAUCCCUCGUUUACUAGACGAGGAUUCUAGCCCUGGUUGCUGGACUUACUUAUUAUUUUAAACAUCACAACCAUAUUCCAUCUACUUGGUUUCUUUUGUAAUCUUGUGUCUCUUAUUGCAGGCACUGGCAAGCAUCAUUCUGAGAAAGGGGAAGGAAGGGAGAGGAAGUUGGGGAAAGGGAGAGCUUUUCUUGGAAACCCCCUCAGGCUUCAAGAAGUAUUACAAAGAAAUAAGAAAGCAUUAAUUCCAUGACGA